This 466-nucleotide ribosomal RNA is filed under the name uncultured bacterium. RNAcentral describes it as "partial 16S ribosomal RNA". It matches the Rfam family "Bacterial small subunit ribosomal RNA", at positions 28 to 507 of the family's 1533-position model. The record is from RNAcentral.
GACGAACGCUGGCGGCGCGCCUAACACAUGCAAGUCGAACGAGCGAGAGAGAGCUUGCUUUCUCGAGCGAGUGGCGAACGGGUGAGUAACCCGUGUGGAACCUGCCUCAAAUAGGGGGACAACAGUUGGAAACGACUGCUAUUACCGCAUAAGCCCUCGGUGCCGCCUGGCACCGAUGGAAAAGGAGCAAUACGCUUUGUGAUGGCCUCGCGUCCGAUUUGCUUGUUGGUGAGGUAAUGGCCCACCAAGGCGACGAUCGGUAGCCGGACCGCGAGGUUGAGAGGACACAAUGGGACUGAGACACGGCCCAGAAUGCGACGGGAGGCAGCAGUGGGGAAUAUUGCAAAAUGGGGGAAACCGUGAUGCAGCGACGCGGGGUGGAGGAAGAAGGUCUUCGGAUUGUAAACUCCGGCUGUUGGGGAAGAUAAUGACGGUACCCAACAAGGAAGUGACGGCUAACUACGUG